UACGUAGGUGGCAAGCGUUGUCCGGAUUUAUUGGGUUUAAAGGGUGCGUAGGCGGCCUAUUAAGUCAGUGCUGAAAUAUCCCGGCUUAACCGGGAGGGUGGCAUUGAUACUGAUGGGCUUGAGUGGAGUCGAGGUAGGCGGAAUUGACGGUGUAGCGGUGAAAUGCUUAGAGAUGACAUAGAACACCUAUUGCGAAGGCAGCAGGCUAAACGAACAUUGACGCUGAGGCACGAAAGCGUGGGGAUCAAACAGG
Molecule: ribosomal RNA, 253 nt
Filed under: uncultured prokaryote
Description: partial 16S ribosomal RNA
Rfam family: Bacterial small subunit ribosomal RNA
Source: RNAcentral